UCCCUUGUAGCUUAGUCGGUAAAGAGUCUGCCUGCAGUGCAGGAGAUCUGGGUUCAAUCCCUGGGUCGGGAA
Molecule: transfer RNA, 72 nt
Filed under: Bos taurus (domestic cattle)
Lineage: Eukaryota; Metazoa; Chordata; Mammalia; Artiodactyla; Bovidae
Also listed under: 5 other names
Rfam family: tRNA
About the family: Transfer RNA (tRNA) molecules are approximately 80 nucleotides in length.
Source: Rfam by way of RNAcentral